This is a long non-coding RNA of Diceros bicornis minor, 766 nucleotides long. RefSeq lists it as uncharacterized. The transcript is spliced from 5 exons. NCBI's taxonomy places the organism in Eukaryota, Metazoa, Chordata, Mammalia, Perissodactyla, Rhinocerotidae. The record is from RefSeq and is a predicted model, not a curated record.
CAGGAGCAGAGCCCUGAGAAGGAUCUUCUGUAGUUUGCAGAGUCUGUUCCUUUCACAGCAGAAUCUCUUGAAAACUGGGCAGAUGCCAGGCUCUUGUUUUCCAAGAUCCACUCCUUUUAAUAUAAAACAUGCUCAGGGGAGAAUCAGGUGGCGCUGGGACAGCUAUUCAUGGAGCCACAGAAGCAGUACAGACUUGGAGUCUGGAAGCCCUGGGCACAUCUGGUGAAUCCUGACGCCACCAUUUAAAACUCAGUCACAUGCCACCCCUAAUAGCAAAGGAGCCCGGGAAUGCAACCUAGCUGUGUGCCCAGAAGGAGGAAUUUCCAGGUUUGGUGUAUAAACUGCCUGCUUUGUUGGCUCAGAGAGCAUCAUUUUUAUGAUCUUCAAAAGGUCCUGUAACCGUGAGAUGACGAGAUAAAGGCCACGUGCUAAGGACGGCACAGCAGGAAGAGCCUGGUCCCUGAUGGCAAGAUUACAUCAUGAUGCUUCUAUAACAGCGCCGGACAGCUUACCUCCAGAGUUAUCUUACAUGAGAACAACAGCACUUCUAUUUGUUUAAGCCAUUCUAAGUUGGGUUUUCUAUUAGGUACAGCUGAUAUAAUGUUCUCUGUCCAUAUUUAAUUGUGAAGACCAUAUUUUGGUUAUUGAUCUAGAAGAGAUCUUUAGACUUAAAGGGUAUGAACACCUUAUUUAAUGAGUGUUGCCAAAUAUUUCCCAGUUUCUCCUUUCUUUUUAUCUUUCUUGCGUGGUCUGUUUUGAUAUUAAA